This is a long non-coding RNA of Motacilla alba alba, 1710 nucleotides long. RefSeq lists it as uncharacterized. The transcript has 3 exons. Lineage: Eukaryota; Metazoa; Chordata; Aves; Passeriformes; Motacillidae. The record is from RefSeq and is a predicted model, not a curated record.
GAUACAAUUAGCAGUAGUGCAGGCUCAAAACAGUGAAUGCUUUUCUUAAUAAUGAAAGUUUGAAGUCUCUCUAACUUGGACCUGUCACAGCACUGGCUGCUGCGUGGCCUGUGACCUGCCAGCAGAGGAAGGCACCCUGAGAAGCCCUGGAAUAUUAUUGUCUUUGUGGCCUCUGAGUUCACAGUCCUGAAGAACCUCUUCCCAGCAGGGUCGAGCCCCUUAACACAGGUAAUGUGUUGUGGUUUGUACUGGGAAUGCUAAGAAGGCUGCUCCAUGGAGACCACUCUCUCCUAAUGGUUCAUUGUAAACAUUUGUUUGGCUCAGUGACACCCUUGGUUCAGCUUCCAGUGCUGCUGGCUCUCCUUCUCCUGGGCUCUGGAGCUGUGCAAGCUCCCAUGCAGCUCAUGGGGAGGCUCAGGAUUAGAAAAUGCAGGCUCCACUGGCAGCACUGGUUCCUGUCUCUGGUCACUGCUGUCACCCAUUACCUUCCUCUGGCAUCCUUUGCCCUCCCUUGGGGCUGCCUGCUCCCCUGAGCUGGUGUGGAGAAGAGCUUCCUUGCUACCAGAGCAAUUUUACAGAGAAAGGAGGUUGGCUGACCACGUACUUAAUGUACAUAAAAAUAGGGUUUUUGGGGUUUUUUUAGAAAAUCAAGCCAGUUGGAAUAAAGUGCAGACCCAAAGGAUUCUGCACAUAUCAUGAACAGCAGCAGACUGUAAUUCACCUGAAACCUAUGAUUUUAGCUCCCACACCUGGAGAGGCCAAGCAGAUGGGCACUGUGUGUGUCAGGUAUUCAGGCUCACAGCACCACAGUUAUUCCCAACCAUCUGACACUGCUGAAAGGAGUGGGAGUGGGAUGUCUUGAAUCUUGGAGCGGGUUGGAAAACCCCAAACUCUGUCAGUGUUUGUAGUGGUAACUUGGGGAAAGCAACAGGUUGGAUGGAGUAACAAAAAGUGCCCAGUUCCAGGGGGCAUUUCAGCACCAAAAUAUUCCAUUGGACUGAUAAAGUCCACAUGCAGUUUGAAAUUUUGUGGUGACAGGGAUGUUAAUGCUGGGCUUGUUCUACAGUAAACUGAGCAAGUGACUGCGUGGCCUUGCACUGCAACACAAACAAGCUGCACCGAUUGAUGUGCGUGUAUCGGCUGUUACAAGAAAGGGAAAUGGGAUUUAAUUGUCAGGAGUGACUGAAAUAUGAAUGGGAAUUACGCAGUUUGCACAGUGGCUAUAACUGCUCUGUAAUGGUGUGACAGCAGGGCUCUAAUUGUUCAUUUCUUUUGUUGGGUCACUUGCAAAUUAAGUAAGUAUCUCUGACAAAGGCAUUUUUAUGUUUCAUUAGUUUUGAGGAGGUUCCUUUUAUACCAAGUACAGGCCAUUGUAAUAACUUGGCAAGGCAACCGCUGCACCGUGGGGAAACCUGCACCAGUUCUGGGUAUUGGUUUGCUAUUUCAUGCUGGUGCUGCCAUUCUCAGGGUUGUUAAAGCAGCACAUGGGAAGAGCAGGGACAUGGGGUGUGCAAGGAGCUCUGUGUGUGGAUGCACAGUUGUGCAAGGGCAGAUGCCAACCCUGCCAAAACACACAAGAACUUUGCCACCUUCUGCGGGUCCCAGCGUUCCAGCUUGGGGGUGGAGAGAAGAGGGAAAUGCUGCCUUGUGGCUGCUGCCUCCUUUCCAUCAGAGAGAGCCAGGCAGCCUCCAGGUUCCCUGCUCCAGCGU